Molecule: ribosomal RNA, 792 nt
Filed under: Spergularia media
Lineage: Eukaryota; Viridiplantae; Streptophyta; Magnoliopsida; Caryophyllales; Caryophyllaceae
Description: eukaryotic LSU rRNA
Rfam family: 5.8S ribosomal RNA (bases 350-505)
Source: RNAcentral
GGCGGUUCGCCGCCGAUGACGUCGCGAGAAGUUCACUGAACCUUAUCAUUUAGAGGAAGGAGAAGUCGUAACAAGGUUUCCGUAGGUGAACCUGCGGAAGGAUCAUUGUCGAAACCUGCCCCGCAGAACGACCCGUGAACCUGUUCAUCGUGCACGGGAGCGCCGGGCGUCGCCUUUGCGGGCGGCGGCCGGUCAACCCAGCCCUGGUGCGCCACCCCUAGCGGGCGGGCGUUCCCUCGGCAAGAAAACAAACCCCGGCGCGAGAGCGCCAAGGAACAUAAACUCAGCGUGCCUGCGUCCGCGCCCGGUUAGCCGGUGCGCGUCGCGGUGCCAUGUACUAACAAUAAACGACUCUCGGCAACGGAUAUCUCGGCUCUCGCAUCGAUGAAGAACGUAGCGAAAUGCGAUACUUGGUGUGAAUUGCAGAAUCCCGUGAAUCAUCGAGUCUUUGAACGCAAGUUGCGCCCGAAGCCCUCGGGCUUAGGGCACGUCUGCCUGGGCGUCACGCAUCGCGUCUCCCCCACACCCACCCCGCGUGGGGAGGAGGAGGACGAUGGCUUCCCGUGCCUCACCGGGCGCGGCUGGCCUAAAACUGGAGACCACGGCAUCGAGCUGUCGCGGCGUAUGGUGGAGUACACGGCCCAGGCCUAAGUCAACCAGUCGCGCAGCCCCUUGUCACCGGCGCUCGAAGGACCCUCUGACGCGUCGGCUCGCCUAGCGCGGGCCGUUGCUCAAAACCGUUGCGACCCCAGGUCAGGCGGGGCUACCCGCUGAAUUAAGCAUAUCAAUAAG